This 209-nucleotide ribosomal RNA is filed under the name uncultured bacterium. RNAcentral's name for it is "partial 16S ribosomal RNA". It matches the Rfam family "Bacterial small subunit ribosomal RNA", at positions 568 to 776 of the family's 1533-position model. The record is from RNAcentral.
CGUGUAGCCGGGCCGACAAGUCAGAUGUGAAAUCCACGGGCUUAACCCGUGAACUGCAUUUGAAACUGUUGGUCUUGAGUAUCGGAGAGGUAACCGGAAUUCCUAGUGUAGCGGUGAAAUGCGUAGAUAUUAGGAAGAACACCAGUGGCGAAGGCGGGUUACUGGACGACAGCUGACGGUGAGGCGCGAAAGCGUGGGGAGGCAAAACA